UACAGAGGUGGCAAGCGUUGUUCGGAAUUACUGGGCGUAAAGGGCGCGUAGGCGGUCCCGUCAGUCCCUUGUGAAAUCCCCCGGCUCAACUGGGGAACUGCAAGGGAUACAGCGGGGCUUGAGUUCGGGAGAGGGGAGCGGAAUUCCGGGUGUAGCGGUGAAAUGCGUAGAUAUCCGGAGGAACACCAGUGGCGAAGGCGAGUCCCUGGACAACACCUGACACUGAGGCACGAAAGCUAGGGGAGCAAACAGG
This 253-nucleotide ribosomal RNA is filed under the name uncultured bacterium. RNAcentral describes it as "partial 16S ribosomal RNA". It matches the Rfam family "Bacterial small subunit ribosomal RNA", at positions 524 to 776 of the family's 1533-position model. The record is from RNAcentral.